RNAcentral lists this non-coding RNA (23 nucleotides) under Arabidopsis thaliana (thale cress). Lineage: Eukaryota; Viridiplantae; Streptophyta; Magnoliopsida; Brassicales; Brassicaceae. The record is from RNAcentral.
GAUUAUGAGUUGAGUUGAGUUGG